This 74-nucleotide transfer RNA is filed under the name Halorientalis regularis. Its description in RNAcentral is "tRNA_Asn_GTT". It matches the Rfam family "tRNA". From Rfam's summary of the family: Transfer RNA (tRNA) molecules are approximately 80 nucleotides in length. Their secondary structure includes four short double-helical elements and three loops (D, anti-codon, and T loops). The record is from RNAcentral. Lineage: Archaea; Methanobacteriati; Methanobacteriota; Halobacteria; Halobacteriales; Haloarculaceae. RNAcentral also lists the same sequence under 1 other name.
GCCUGGGAGUCCCCCGUGGUGGGGGAGCCGGGCUGUUACCCUGGUCGUGGACGGUUCGACUCCGUCCCCAGGCG